UACCUCUGGAGGAAUUUUGCUGCAAACUGAAGCUCUGAACAAUGGACUGAAUGACCCAUCCAAGCUGUGGAUGUACUCCAGAGACUUGACUUAAGCCAUCAGGUUAUUCCAUCACUGCUACAAGCGUGAACCAAAAACUUUGCCAUUGCUGUGCUCACAGCAAUAACCUUGAAGGUCCCACUGUGACAUGCUGUUUUACUGAAGAACAAUGUGUUUAAUCUCUCCUAGGCAAGGGGAAUCAAAGCAGUGAACCAAAGCUACUGGAUCCCGGUUACUGGGAACACAGACAUGACAUUUCCCUCAAGGUUCUACAACUGAAUGUCAAGGCCCUAUUGGGUACAAAGCUCUCUGGUCUUGAAAACAUCACCUGACAUCACAAUGCUGAUGUCAUCUGCCUUCAGGUAAUCCAUGUUAAUUCCCUUAUUGCCAGGCAUUUCAUAAUCUCUGGUUUUGCAUGAAAAAUAUGGCUGAGACACUCAUGUAACUUAGCCGAUGUGGAGAGUCUAUCAUCAUAAGGAUCAGUCAAUUUAAAGUGGUAAAUUUCUACAAGCCCUUGAAUCAACUACAAUCACUCCCACAUCCUGCUAUCUAUGAUGGAAAAUUCACCAGCCACCAUACCACCUGGGGCUAUAAAGAAUCUGAUCAAAGUGGGAUAGACCUUGCAAACUGGGUCUCUCUCAAGGAACUACACUGACCCUAAGCAACCAGCAACUCUUCACACUGCCCAUCAGAAACAGGGCUACCUUCCCUGACCUCAGUUGGGUCACUUCUGCUGGAGGCCACCCUCUACCAGCCAUCUGUAGAGUCCUUGGAAAUUUCCUCCAAAGUCAGCAACACCCGAUCCUCCUCCAAACGGGUUACCAUGCCUAUCAUGACCUCUAGCCCAAGGCUACAUUGGAUCUACAGAAAAGCAGACUGGGACAAUUACACUAAGCCCAUUGACCAAUAUACUGUGUGUGUCCCAAGUAACAUCUCAAUAGA
Molecule: long non-coding RNA, 981 nt
Organism: Dermochelys coriacea (leatherback sea turtle)
Lineage: Eukaryota; Metazoa; Chordata; Testudines; Dermochelyidae
Exons: 3
Source: RefSeq, a predicted model, not a curated record